GACAUAAAAAUGGAGAAAAUUUUACAGGGCAUAUACAGAAUUGUAGAUACUGUAUACUUUGUUUUAAACUUAUAAAUUGCAGAUACAUGUACAAAACAUACGUAAAAUUGAAUAUAGAAAGCCAUAAUGAAGAAGACGUAAAUACAGAUCUUCAUAUAUACAUAUUCCUGUGUAUAAGCAUACAGAUAAAUGUUUAUUUUACAUUUACAGGGGUCUAAAUGUAGACACGCUGACAUAUAUGUUUAAGAUUACGCCCUUAGGUUAUGUUUUAUAUCCUGUAGGUUGGUAACAAAUCAAUAUGGAACAUCGACACAAAUUUCUUCAUAUAUUUCAGUUUAUUCCUAUUUCGGAUAAUGUUUAAAAAGCCGAACAGAAUAAUAACUUGCGAAAUAAACAAAGUCGAAAGAUAUACGAAAAUUCGUUUUCGUUCAUAACGUAAGAAGAGUAAUAAAAUUGGAAAUAAUAGAGAAUUAUUGAAGCGGCAAAUGGUAUAAAGAUUGGUUUAGACUCAUAAACUGUGUCUUCAAAUACAAGCCUGUUAACACUAUCUUGUUAGUCAAGGAAUGAAGGCAGUUGUGUGCAACCAGAGAAAGCAUACAGGUAUCAAACGAAGCGGCAAGAAAUACCGACAUAAAUUACGUAUUUACACAAUGAAUGACGAGUUGCUAGUGUCGAGAUAUGACUUGACUACCAAGAGAAUCAAGGUGUUUGUCAAGUUAAAAGACGAGUGCACACUCCCGAUUGCAAAACUGAGAUUUACUAGCGCUCAUUAACUAGAGUACCAUUCUCCUUCCUAAACAAGUUUAUAGGAAACGACUACCUUUACGCAAUAUAAUCUUAUGAGGCCUUCUUAGAUUAGAAUUUUCGGGUUUUAAAUUUAUUUAUUACAAUCUUACGAAACACAAUUGAAAACUUAUUUUAUAUUCAUACAAUUUACUAACCUAAAAACUGUAUUGUUACAUAGUAUAUACACAGAUAAAACUUAACAGACAUUAUUAAAAAUUAUGAAAAUAUCUCAAAAAACUUUUCCAUCUGCC
This 1037-nucleotide long non-coding RNA is filed under the name Androctonus crassicauda. The record is from RNAcentral. Lineage: Eukaryota; Metazoa; Arthropoda; Arachnida; Scorpiones; Buthidae.